Molecule: transfer RNA, 60 nt
Filed under: Ictidomys tridecemlineatus (thirteen-lined ground squirrel)
Lineage: Eukaryota; Metazoa; Chordata; Mammalia; Rodentia; Sciuridae
Description: Spermophilus tridecemlineatus (thirteen-lined ground squirrel) tRNA
Rfam family: tRNA
About the family: Transfer RNA (tRNA) molecules are approximately 80 nucleotides in length. Their secondary structure includes four short double-helical elements and three loops (D, anti-codon, and T loops).
Source: Rfam by way of RNAcentral
UGUGGCUCAGCGGUAGAGCGUGCGCCUUGCACGUGUGCAGCCCUGGGUUCAAUCUCAGCA